This 435-nucleotide unclassified non-coding RNA is filed under the name Athalia rosae (coleseed sawfly). RNAcentral's name for it is "misc RNA ENSAEAG00005006405.1". Lineage: Eukaryota; Metazoa; Arthropoda; Insecta; Hymenoptera; Athaliidae. The record is from RNAcentral.
CUGCAUUUUCCAACCAGACGUUGCAUCCAUAUUCAAAUAAAUUUGACAAGUAGUUUCGCUGUUGCUUGAAUCUAUUGUCCAUCCCAUAAAUUGCACAUGCCUGAACACUGUCGCCUCUGAUCCUCUGACUGUCUUCGAUUUCGAGACCAAGAAUGUAAUUACCUGAAUAAAGGAAUAUUUACAAUUACAUGUCAUCAUUAUUAUUCGUAAACGUCAGGGUUGUGUUCGACUUCGAUUUAGAGGCUAGGCUCCGAUGAAAUGUCAAAGGUGUGUCACGAGUUUUUAAUUAGUGAGUUUUUAGCAAUUGUGUCGAUAGCAAUACGGUUUUUCACUGGACUGAUGAAACUAGAAGGUAUUAUAAUUGAUCCAACCCAUUGCGAACUGUCGUCAGUUCUCUUCUAUUCUUCCAAUUUCCUCAUGGGAUACUUAAUCACC